AUUCAAUAUUGAGCUGUCAGGAUACCUUUGUAGUGGAGGAAAUGUUGGAUACUGACAGCUCAAUAUUGAAUGAGCGUGACAAGAAGGGAAACACAGCUUUGCAUAUAGCCACACGGAAAUGUCGCCCACAGAUUGUAAGCCUUCUCCUCAGUUACACAUCCCUUGAUGUCAAUGCAAUUAAUAAUCAAAAGGAAACUGCAAUGGACUUGGCAGACAAACUGCAAUAUGGAGACUCAGCGUUGUUAAUUAAGGAAGGUCUGACUGAGGCUGGUGCAAAACAUGCCAGAUUUGUGGGUCAAUUUGAUGAAGCAUCAGAACUUAAGAGGACCGUAAGUGACAUUAAGCAUGAGGUGCAAUCCCAGCUUAUACAAAAUGAAAAGACCCGAAGGCGUGUUUCUGGUAUUGCCAAAGAACUUAGGAAGAUUCAUAGGGAAGCUGUUCAGAAUACGAUUAACUCUGUGACCGUGGUUGCUGUUUUGUUUGCGUCUAUUGCUUUUCUGGCUAUAUUCAGCUUGCCAGGCCAAUAUGUGGAGACUGGACCUGAAGCAGGAAAGGCCAGAAUUGCUGAUACUGUUGCAUUCCGUGUGUUCUGCCUCCUGAAUGCAACUUCUCUCUUUAUAUCUCUCGCUGUUGUUGUUGUUCAGAUUACUCUGGUUGCCUGGGAUACUAGAGCUCAGAAACAAAUCGUCUCAGUCGUGAACAAGUUGAUGUGGGCAGCCUGCGUUAGUACCUGUGGAGCAUUCCUAGCUGUUGGUUUUGUUGUUGUAGGGAGGAAAAGUUCGUGGAUGGCAAUCACUAUUACUGUGCUUGGUGCACCAAUUCUCAUUGGAACUCUCGUUAGCUUGUGCUACUUUGUCUUCCGACAGCAUUUUGGCAUUUGUGGUAGCGAUUCUCAAAGGCGUAUCAGAAGAGCAAGUGGGAGCAAAUCUUUCUCAUGGUCUCACUCUGCAAAUAUCUCUGAUAUGGAUGACUACAACUCUGAUGACAGAAUUUAUGCUUUGUGAGACUGACGUUAUGCAAAUGUUCGAUCUAACUCUGAUAUGGAUGACUAAAACACGAGAAGACUGAAAGUAUAGUCAAACGCUGUUGAACCCUGUGCAUGUCACUGAGAAAGUGAAAGUGAUGUUGAGUCAUGAUACCUACACAGACAUCAGGUACUCGUUUUCAACACCAUGCACGAAAAUUUCCCUUUACUUUUUUGCUCAUAGUAUGAGUUAUGAUGAAUUAGCAAAAUCGAGAGCUCUGCUAGUUAGUUGUAUAGGUUUCGUGUUGCUUCAGUCCUUCAAGAUGUCCAUUUUACACAAGUAGUUUG
This 1312-nucleotide unclassified non-coding RNA is filed under the name Hevea brasiliensis (rubber tree). The record is from RNAcentral. Lineage: Eukaryota; Viridiplantae; Streptophyta; Magnoliopsida; Malpighiales; Euphorbiaceae.